UUUAUUGGAGAGUUUGAUCCUGGCUCAGGACGAACGCUGGCGGCAUGCCUAAUACAUGCAAGUCGAGCGGACUUGAAGAGAAGCUUGCUUCUCUGAUGGUUAGCGGCGGACGGGUGAGUAACACGUAGGCAACCUGCCCUCAAGCUUGGGACAACUACCGGAAACGGUAGCUAAUACCGAAUACUUGCUU
RNAcentral lists this ribosomal RNA (190 nucleotides) under Paenibacillus xylanilyticus. Its description in RNAcentral is "partial 16S ribosomal RNA". It matches the Rfam family "Bacterial small subunit ribosomal RNA", at positions 1 to 182 of the family's 1533-position model. The record is from RNAcentral. Lineage: Bacteria; Bacillati; Bacillota; Bacilli; Caryophanales; Paenibacillaceae.